CAAGAGUGGCCUGAAGGGCUGUGUCUAUGGACAGGAGGCAGUGCGUCUCUCCGUGGGCCCCAUGGCCCGGGACGUGGAGAGCCUGGCACUGUGCCUGCGAGCCCUGCUGUGCGAGGACAUGUUCCGCUUGGACCCCACUGUGCCUCCCUUGCCCUUCAGAGAAGAGGUCUACACCAGCUCUCAGCCCCUGCGUGUGGGGUACUAUGAGACUGACAACUAUACCAUGCCCUCCCCGGCCAUGAGGCGGGCCGUGCUGGAGACCAAACAGAGCCUUGAGGCUGCGGGGCACACGCUGGUUCCCUUCUUGCCAAGCAACAUACCCCAUGCUCUGGAGACCCUGUCAACAGGUGGGCUCUUCAGUGAUGGUGGCCACACCUUCCUACAGAACUUGUGAGUGAUAGUGGGCUUUGGGGUCUUGGUGGGAUCAGACAAGUAGGCAGACCUGGGGGAGCAGCAGGGUGUGGUGAUGCCUGGAUGGGC
RNAcentral lists this small RNA (480 nucleotides) under Pan troglodytes (chimpanzee). RNAcentral's name for it is "retained intron". Lineage: Eukaryota; Metazoa; Chordata; Mammalia; Primates; Hominidae. The record is from RNAcentral.